UACGUAGGGUGCGAGCGUUGUCCGGAAUUAUUGGGCGUAAAGGGCUCGUAGGCGGUUUGUCGCGUCGGGAGUGAAAACUCAGGGCUUAACCCUGAGCCUGCUUCCGAUACGGGCAGACUAGAGGUAUGCAGGGGAGAACGGAAUUCCGUGGUGUAGCGGUGAAAUGCGCAGAUAUCAGGAGGAACACCGGGUGGCGAAGGCGGCGAUCUGGGUCGAUACUGACGCUGAGGAGCGAAAGCGUGGGGAGCGAACAGG
RNAcentral lists this ribosomal RNA (255 nucleotides) under uncultured bacterium. RNAcentral describes it as "partial 16S ribosomal RNA". It matches the Rfam family "Bacterial small subunit ribosomal RNA", at positions 524 to 776 of the family's 1533-position model. The record is from RNAcentral.